UACGUAGGGUGCGAGCGUUGUCCGGAAUUACUGGGCGUAAAGAGCUCGUAGGUGGUUUGUCGCGUUGUUCGUGAAAACUCACAGCUUAACUGUGGGCGUGCGGGCGAUACGGGCAGACUGGAGUACUGCAGGGGAGACUGGAAUUCCUGGUGUAGCGGUGGAAUGCGCAGAUAUCAGGAGGAACACCCGUGGCUAAGGCGGCUCUCUAGUACGGUACUGACGCUGAGACGCGAAAGCGUGGGGAGCGAACAGG
Molecule: ribosomal RNA, 253 nt
Filed under: uncultured bacterium
Lineage: Bacteria
Description: partial 16S ribosomal RNA
Rfam family: Bacterial small subunit ribosomal RNA
Source: RNAcentral